This 253-nucleotide ribosomal RNA is filed under the name uncultured bacterium. Its description in RNAcentral is "partial 16S ribosomal RNA". It matches the Rfam family "Bacterial small subunit ribosomal RNA", at positions 524 to 776 of the family's 1533-position model. The record is from RNAcentral.
UACGUAGGGAGCAAGCGUUGUCCGGAAUCAUUGGGCGUAAAGCGCGUGUAGGCGGCCAGAUAAGUCCGCUGUGAAAACUCGAGGCUCAACUUCGAGCUGUCGGUGGAAACUUUCUGGCUAGAGUCCGGAAGAGGAGAAUGGAAUUCCUGGUGUAGCGGUGAAAUGCGCAGAUAUCAGGAAGAACACCCGUGGCGAAGGCGGUUCUCUGGGACGGUACUGACGCUGAGACGCGAAAGCGUGGGGAGCGAACAGG